UGAGGAAUAUUGGUCAAUGGGCGGUAGCCUGAACCAGCCAAGUCGCGUGAGGGAAUAAGGCCCUACGGGUCGUAAACCUCUUUUGCCGGGGAGCAAGUCAGGGUUCGAGAACCCUGAUGGAGAGUACCCGGAGAAAAAGCAUCGGCUAACUCCGUGCCAA
Molecule: ribosomal RNA, 160 nt
Filed under: uncultured bacterium
Lineage: Bacteria
Description: partial 16S ribosomal RNA
Rfam family: Bacterial small subunit ribosomal RNA
Source: RNAcentral